AUUGAACGCUGGCGGCAGGCCUAACACAUGCAAGUCGAACGAGUGGCGGACGGGUGAGUAAUGUCUGGGAAACUGCCCGAUGGAGGGGGAUAACUACUGGAAACGGUAGCUAAUACCGCAUACCAUCGGAUGUGCCCAGAUGGGAGUAGCUUGUAGGUGAGGUAACGGCUCACCUAGGCGACGAUCCCUAGCUGGUCUGAGAGGAUGACCAGGCACACUGGAACUGAGACACGGACCAGACUCCUGCGGGAGGCAGAGGGUGGGAAGAUUGCACAAGGGGCGCAAGCCGGAGGCAGCGAUGCCGCGUGUAUGAAGGAGGCCUUCGUGUUGUAAAGUACUUUCAGCGGGGAGGCGUUACCCGCAGAAGAAGCACCGGCUAACUCCGUGCCAGCAGCCGCGGUAAUAC
Molecule: ribosomal RNA, 406 nt
Filed under: uncultured bacterium
Lineage: Bacteria
Description: partial 16S ribosomal RNA
Rfam family: Bacterial small subunit ribosomal RNA
Source: RNAcentral